This is an unclassified non-coding RNA of Pongo abelii (Sumatran orangutan), 148 nucleotides long. It matches the Rfam family "Metazoan signal recognition particle RNA". From Rfam's summary of the family: The signal recognition particle (SRP) is a universally conserved ribonucleoprotein. It is involved in the co-translational targeting of proteins to membranes. Lineage: Eukaryota; Metazoa; Chordata; Mammalia; Primates; Hominidae. The record is from Ensembl.
GCUAGGUAUGGUGGUGUGCACCUGUAGUCCCAGCUAUUUGGGAGGCUGAGGUGGGAGGAUCACUUGAGCCCAGGAGGUCAGGGCUGCAGUGAGCCACAAUCGCAUCACUGCACUCCAGCCUGGGCAACAGAGUGAGACCCGGUCUCAA